RNAcentral lists this ribosomal RNA (407 nucleotides) under Verrucomicrobiota bacterium. RNAcentral's name for it is "Verrucomicrobia bacterium partial 16S ribosomal RNA". It matches the Rfam family "Bacterial small subunit ribosomal RNA", at positions 355 to 776 of the family's 1533-position model. The record is from RNAcentral. Lineage: Bacteria; Pseudomonadati; Verrucomicrobiota.
UGGGGAAUAUUGGACAAUGGAGGAAACUCUGAUCCAGCAAUUCUGUGUGUGUGAAGAAGGUUUUAGGACUGUAAAACACUUUUAGUAGGGAAGAAAAAAAUGACGGUACCUACAGAAGAAGCAACGGCUAAAUACGUGCCAGCAGCCGCGGUAAUACGUAUGUUGCGAGCGUUAUCCGGAAUUAUUGGGCUUAAAGGGCAUCUAGGCGGUAAGACAAGUUGAAGAUGAAAACCUGUGGCUCAACCAUAGGCUUGCCUACAAAACUGUUGAACUAGAGUACUGGAAAGGUGGGUGGAACUACACGAGUAGAGGUGAAAUUCGUAGAUAUGUGUAGGAAUGCCGAUGAUGAAGAUAACUCACUGGACAGAAACUGACGCUGAAGUGCGAAAGCUAGGGGAGCAAACAGG